This is a long non-coding RNA of Dreissena polymorpha, 1323 nucleotides long. RefSeq lists it as uncharacterized. NCBI's taxonomy places the organism in Eukaryota, Metazoa, Mollusca, Bivalvia, Myida, Dreissenidae. The transcript is spliced from 2 exons. The record is from RefSeq and is a predicted model, not a curated record.
CAGAAUAUCUAGUGAUAUCUUGGGCUGCACUGAGCAGGUCAGUUCCUAUCUCAGGUGAGCGACUUUGGGCCUCUUUCAGGCCCUCUUGUAUAAUUAUUACAUUCUGACGUUCAUACAAAGGACAAAUUAUCCGGAAUUGUAAUACAAAUGACAAUUCUUUUUUGGGGAUCAAUUUUAAUAUCUCUACAGGCAUUACAAUGCAUUAAAAACUUCCAUCGUCAUACAGCACAACAUAAUUGGUCAAGACAAUACGAUAGUAUUACUUUCAAAAUUAACAGCACCUCACAAGUGAUUCAAUCCAUUUGUGCAUAACAUGCAUACAUUUCAUUCUUAAAUAAACUCACAGUCUAGGUACAAGAGAUUAUUGCACUUCACGCCGAGGUGAACUAAAUAUUACCACACAUUUAGCAUUGAACAGUUUAUUUGUCUAAACAAAUGCAGACAUUGAUGUCUUAUCACUAUUCCCAAUUUUUGCCUUGUUAAAAAACUUUAUUCAAAUCAAGAUUGCUAAUUUAACAACAUUUAUUCCACUUCAAGCUAAAUAUGUCAAAGUUCAAUUACAUUCAUGGCUGCCUAGGUAACACAUUUUAUUCCAUUCAUUGUUCCCUUAAUUACAAAGUUGAUUCCAGCAAUCCUAGCUUAAGUUAAUAAGUAUUUUUCCAUUCAUGGUUGCCCAAGUUACAAAGUUAAUUAUGUUAAUGGCUGCCUAGGUUACAAAGUUAAUUAUGUUAACGGCUGCCUAGGUUACAAAGUUAAUUAUGUUCAUGGCUGCCUAGGUUACAAAGUUAAUUAUGUUCAUGGCUGCCUAGGUUACAAAGUUAAUUAUGUUCAUGGCUGCCUAGGUUACAAAGUUAAUUAUGUUCAUGGCUGCCUAGGUUACAAAGUUAAUUAUGUUCAUGGCUGCCUAGGUUACAAAAUUAAUUAUGUUCUUGGCUGCCUAGGUUACAAAGUUUAUUGCAAUCAUGCUUAACUAGAUAUACAAAGUGUAUUCUAAUCAUGGUUGCGCAUGUUACAAUGUUUAUUCCAUCCCUAGCUGCCUAUGGUUUCAAAUGUAUUCCAUUCGAUGCUGCCUGUAUUACAGUUUAUUUCUUUCAUAUGAUGGUUGCAAAGUUAAAGUCAAAUAUGGUUUCAAAGCUUGAAAAGAUUAUCCCAACACCGGUUGCCUAGAAAAGGAAGUUUAUUCCUAUUGCCGUAGCCUAAGAAAGAAAGUUCAUGUUUAUGAUUGUUGCCUGGGUAAUAAACUUUAUUCCAUUCAUUGUUGCAAAGGUUACCAAGUCAAUUGCAAUCAUGGCUGUCUAGGCAAACAUUUGAACAAAUCAUGUU